GACGAACCGAGCGAACGUUAUUCGGAAUCACUGGGCUUAAAGCGCGUGUAGGCGGAUCGUUAAGUGCCUUGUGAAAUCCUGCGGCUCAACCGCAGAACUGCUGGGCAUACUGGCGAUCUUGGGCCACUCAGGGGUCACUGGAACAAGCGGUGGAGCGGUGAAAUGCGUAGAUAUCGCGUGGAACGCCAAAGGUGAAGACAGGUGACUGGGGGUGUGCCGACGCUGAGACGCGAAAGCCAGGGGAGCAAACGGG
Molecule: ribosomal RNA, 253 nt
Filed under: uncultured bacterium
Lineage: Bacteria
Description: partial 16S ribosomal RNA
Rfam family: Bacterial small subunit ribosomal RNA
Source: RNAcentral